UUGUAACCUGGGAAAGGAUCAUGUAUCUGUUCUCGGUUCAUCAUAUUACCGCUUUUUAAGCUGAUUCUGUGUCAUAAAAGUUCUCCACCUAAGUCGUGAAGUAAUGCUUUCAUUGCUUUGUAAGUACUGGCAUGUUUUAUCUAGAAUCGUGUUAAAUCAUUGGUAGAACUUGCUCCAGAAUCGUGUAAUGUCCAUGUAUUUGAGAGGUCGCAAUUUGUCGUCAUAAUAGCUUAAAUGUUAGACAUUCUAUCUGGUUGUUGUAAUUGUAUCCUUAUAUCAAGUCAUGUGGUUUCUGGAACGGAGUCUUUAUAGAUUUGAGCAGAGGUCAGGGAAUUACGCCUUUCAGCUCUAUUGUGCGGUGACUUAGCUAAGCUUGCUCUAUGCAUAUGCAAAAAAUUAAUCUUUGAGCCCCACUUGUCAACUAAAAAUUGAAUAACACAUGUGAUAAAACAAUGAAAGUUUGCUUGUAUAAUUGCAGCUUUGUCAUAUUAAGGAUGAAUUUGGAGAUCUGAUUAUCAUGCUUGCAGUUUUCUAUUUGGGAAAGUAUAAGGGAUGUGAUGUGUAGGUGGGAUUGAUGUAAGUGCACAUAUGAACAUUGCUGUAAUUGCUUGGUUCUUUAUCAAUAUGUCUUCUCGUACCUUUCGCCUAGGUCUCAUAUUUCUCUCCUUUUUCAAGUAACUGAUCUUACUUUUCAAUCAUGUAACUGAUCUUUACUUUUCAAUCUUCUUUGUUAUACUUAUAGGUAUCAUAUUUCUCUCUUUUUCUUUUUAAAUGUACGUCUUGUCCAGUUUUUGCUUGUUGGGAGUCCUGGGGCUGGGCCAGUGUAUGUAUACUGUGUACCAUAGUAUAAUUAUACAUAUAUACAUGUGUAUUUGUGCUGUUUAUUUAAGUUCAGCCCUCUGAAUUCAAUUCUUGACAUGCCCUGAUCCUAUGCAUGUGUUUGUUAUCUUCUACUACAUUCUAAAGAGGUAGGAUAUGCAAUAAUCCGUAUUAAUUUGUUUGAACGAUGAUUUUAGUUGAUUAUGCCUUAUGAUAUGCAAUUACAAUUUGAGCAGUAUCUUAACGUUUGGCAAAUUGUUGGUCUGCAUUUGUGAUAUUUUGGUCCAUCUGGACGCACGAAAAUCUGGGCAGGAUGCAUGUGCCUAGUUAAUGUAAAGCAUGACCAUGGGUUGGUAGGAGCAUUUAAAUGUAUCAUAAAUGAGAGUAUUUUCUUGAUGCUUUAUUGAAUUUAUUUGAAGUAUUUGGCUAACAUUUGUCAAUGAAGUGAGGAAUCAAAGCAUUUAUAUUGAACUGAAUAAAUUGCUUUAAUUGGUGUCAGAGAUUUGCUUUUGUCUUGGGCAGCUCUUGAUCAUUGUGUGCUGCAUUGUUCAGUAGAAUUGAUGAUUAGUGAGGUUGUUGGUGGUAACAUGGAACUAUAUAUAAUACGGAAUUCUAUGUGUUUGGAAUAAUUUGCGCAUUAUUUUGUAGUAGACACGAUUUGGCGUUGUAGGUCUAGCUCUCAACUGGCUUAUUCUUCUCGUCGAGACCUUAAAGCUCAAUCUUUGAUUUAUUGAAAUAGUAAAAUGUUUAAACGACAAAUUUAUUGAUUUAUUUUGUAUAAAAUAAAAAACGUGACCAAACGGGCGAAUUCUGGGGCGAAAUUAAUUUUAAAAAAUCAAAAAAUUAGAUGCUCCUUAUUUUGUCAAAAUCUGAAAGUGAUGUCGUAAUUAGAAUUUGGUCGAAAGUUCAUGAUUUUAAUUU
This 1740-nucleotide long non-coding RNA is filed under the name Salvia miltiorrhiza (redroot sage). Its description in RNAcentral is "long non-coding RNA (SMIL_LNC001770)". The record is from RNAcentral. Lineage: Eukaryota; Viridiplantae; Streptophyta; Magnoliopsida; Lamiales; Lamiaceae.